RNAcentral lists this ribosomal RNA (889 nucleotides) under uncultured Bacillota bacterium. Its description in RNAcentral is "bacterial SSU rRNA". It matches the Rfam family "Bacterial small subunit ribosomal RNA", at positions 28 to 897 of the family's 1533-position model. The record is from RNAcentral. Lineage: Bacteria; Bacillati; Bacillota.
GAUGAACGCUGGCGGCGUGCCUAAUACAUGCAAGUCGAGCGAACAGAUGAGAAGCUUGCUUCUCUGAUGUUAGCGGCGGACGGGUGAGUAACACGUGGGUAACCUACCUAUAAGACUGGGAUAACUCCGGGAAACCGGGGCUAAUACCGGAUAAUAUUUUGAACCGCAUGGUUCAAUAGUGAAAGACGGUUUCGGCUGUCACUUAUAGAUGGACCCGCGCCGUAUUAGCUAGUUGGUAAGGUAACGGCUUACCAAGGCGACGAUACGUAGCCGACCUGAGAGGGUGAUCGGCCACACUGGAACUGAGACACGGUCCAGACUCCUACGGGAGGCAGCAGUAGGGAAUCUUCCGCAAUGGGCGAAAGCCUGACGGAGCAACGCCGCGUGAGUGAUGAAGGUCUUCGGAUCGUAAAACUCUGUUGUUAGGGAAGAACAAAUUUGUUAGUAACUGAACAAGUCUUGACGGUACCUAACCAGAAAGCCACGGCUAACUACGUGCCAGCAGCCGCGGUAAUACGUAGGUGGCAAGCGUUAUCCGGAAUUAUUGGGCGUAAAGCGCGCGUAGGCGGUUUCUUAAGUCUGAUGUGAAAGCCCACGGCUCAACCGUGGAGGGUCAUUGGAAACUGGGGAACUUGAGUGCAGAAGAGGAGAGUGGAAUUCCAUGUGUAGCGGUGAAAUGCGCAGAGAUAUGGAGGAACACCAGUGGCGAAGGCGGCUCUCUGGUCUGUAACUGACGCUGAUGUGCGAAAGCGUGGGGAUCAAACAGGAUUAGAUACCCUGGUAGUCCACGCCGUAAACGAUGAGUGCUAAGUGUUAGGGGGUUUCCGCCCCUUAGUGCUGCAGCUAACGCAUUAAGCACUCCGCCUGGGGAGUACGACCGCAAGGUUGA